Long non-coding RNA from Cercocebus atys (sooty mangabey), 2433 nucleotides. RefSeq lists it as uncharacterized. NCBI's taxonomy places the organism in Eukaryota, Metazoa, Chordata, Mammalia, Primates, Cercopithecidae. The record is from RefSeq and is a predicted model, not a curated record. The transcript is spliced from 2 exons.
CUUCCCAGACGUGGCUCCAGGCUGACCUGCUGCAGGGGGACUAGUGGGGGAGAAAGAGCGGGCUGCUAUCAUCUGUAGAGAUAGGGGGCUUACUGGCCAACAGAGUGGUGAAAGGAUACUUAGUGUUGCUUGAAGAAAUUCCUCAGGAGGCUCAAGAGUGCCUGGAAACAAACACCCAGGAUUUCUUUGCCACUUAGCAACCCAGGCAGUGGAACGUGACUUACGUCUCUAAGCUUGCAGUGAGCACGGUCCUGGCAAGCUCAGCAUUCCUAGGGGCUGUACUGAGAAGAGACUCCCUCUCCUCAAAGGUACCUGAAUACCAAAAACCUUUCCUCAAAGCUUCUUACUCUGGAGUCAGAAUCCUCCCUGAUGUGGUAAGAAUUUUGUGAGAAGUGGUAGGAAACCUGGUCUUUUAGUUCAUAACUAGCGUGUUAGAAGGGACCGAACCCGGUCAUAGGGACAGGAGACUUGGCCUCCAGGCUCGCCUCUGCCCUGUCUUUCUGAAUGGCUCUGGACAAGUUCCUUCGUUUGCAAAAUAAGACUGUUGGUCUAUGACGGAUUAGCUUUAAUACUCAAGUAUUAGAGUACUGGUGAAAUGUGACAAUAUGUGAAAUGUGAAAAUUAUAAAGUAUGACUUAAAAUAAAUAUCUUAGGAGGUACGUAUGCUUUUUACAGCUGGGGAAUGUAAGUCCAACCCUGGGAUUUAUAAGAAACUACCACAGAAGGAGGACUCCUGGGCUCCCACUCAGGCCUCAAACAGGCAUUACAAAACGAUAAAGCUAUUUGCUUCUGAAUCCAACCCUCCCAAGCUGGUUCCUCCUUCACCUGCCCUGGAAGGAAGGGCGGCAAUUUCCCUUCAAGAUGCUGAAGGUAUGAAAGCUUUGUCCGCAAGCUGGGGUAUGAAACUUUUUAAGAUUAAACAUAAGACCAAGCACACACUUUUCAGAGCUGCUAAGGCCCACACUUUGUGUUUAGCUUUGGGUUUCCAAGACCCAAUCUGAAAGGCAGUGCUUUCUCUACCUUUAAAGAAGAAAAUGGGAAAGAGAGGUGGGCUUGGGGGUUCUUAUUUUGCAAACCUCCCUGGAGACAGUGCAAAAACUGCUCCUCUGCAGCAGCAGGUAAACACCUGAGCUGGGAAGGAAAGCUGCCUGCUAGUCCCAAUGAAUACCGGCAAGACAAGGGCAGGCAAGAGGCGGGGCAGCUUCCCUGCCAGCUGAAAGCUCACUUUUGUUUGAACCAUGUCCCAACCACCCGCUGCCUCCCCUCAGGAGGGAGGGAUAAAACCAAGAAGGGUGUGAUUUUCCCGAGGGGCCAUUGCUAAAAUGAAGUCGGGCAUCGUGUGGGGCGGGAAGCUGUGGCUGCAGGAAGCCAGGGGUGAUGUCCUUCCUGCAGAGUCUCUCGAGCCCCAAACUUGCGGGAAGAAAGGCCUCCCCCCUUUCACCUCGUUCGGGUUGGUUUGCGCUGGAAUGCCACGCUUUUCAAAGUGUCUGAGUGAUAGGCACUUUCUAAAUAUGUACAGCGAUGGCCUGAUAAGCAACUAAGCGUCUGGCUUCGCGGGUUCAUGCCCGAGGCUGUGCGGUCGGGAAGGGUGGGGGCUCAGCUGAAACCUCAGCUCCUCCUUACAGGCCUGGCUUGGAAACGGUUCUGUUCACUGCUGGGGUCCCCAUUUUCCAACUUUUACUUCUGAGACUGGAAGAAGACAAGAGACACCUCCCCACCCCCUAUCCUCUGCUUCCACGCCCGCGACUCAGCCCAGGUGACCCAAACGGCUGAGUCAACUUGGCGCAAUCGGAGCGUCCCCAUUGCGCCGGCCGCCCCCAGCCCCCUUCGCCCCUCGCUUGGCCCCACAAUGCGCCCUUGUGCAGCGCCUGCAGUCAGGCCGGGGAUUUGGCGCAGGGAUGGGGGGAAUAUUCGUCAGAUAUUUAAAACAGAGCCGAGAGAACAAAGCAGGCCUUUGUGCAGUGAGGCGGCCCGGGAGCUGGGAGCCGCCGGCCCCCGAGCACGGUGCUGGGCCAGGCGAAUGCGCAUGCGCGGGGCGACCUGCGCGCUCGGGUUCCGGGCCGGCUUCUACCCAGGACACAUGGCUCAAGAUAAAAUGAUACACCACUUGAGAACCCAAAUUUUCAAUGACUGGAAAGACUAAGACACUUGGGUCACGUAAAAAUCAAGACAUUUGGAAAAUACGCCAUCUUCGGAUGCUAGAAGAAGAUGGAACCUUUUGAUAGGCGUGGGCUUCUUCCGGCUUGUUUAUGCUGGGUGACCGGCUCUUUCAUUUUUGUGUUCACUGUCACUUGGAAUUUGGAAGACAUGCUGGUUGUUGUCAAGGACCUGGCUUUUGUUUUGGGUUGUGGGCUGACUGGAUGGUGUUUGUUUAUUAAAAAAAAAACAAACCGAAAAACGAAAUAGCUAAAUACAAGUGAAGUGUGCAUGGUA